Molecule: long non-coding RNA, 758 nt
Organism: Mauremys reevesii (Reeves's turtle)
Lineage: Eukaryota; Metazoa; Chordata; Testudines; Geoemydidae
Exons: 4
Source: RefSeq, a predicted model, not a curated record
GAACAGCUCUAAGAAAAAGAAAGCCCCUCCCCCCCGGAAUGAGCUUCUCAGGGGGAGCUGGUGAGGGUGUUCACUAGGGAGGGAACCUGAAGAAGAAAGCUCCUAAAUGUGGGUCUGACAGGGAGGAGGCAUGAGUGCUAAAUCUCAGUGGACCUGAUCCCGUGGACGGACUUCACCAAGUAGUAGCAGAAGCUCUGGAACAGAGGAAUUCUAGGUUUUUCCAAGGAAGGUUUGUCAUGGUCUGAUUCCUGUGGGGACCUAGACCCAAGAGGCCCCAGCUCCAGAAGAGGGUUCUGGGUCUAGAGGCCCUGAUGGACAGUGGUUCCGGAUGGGGCACUUUGUUCUUCCCCAGGAUCUAGUUGAGAUUGACCCUUAUCCAGUCCCAGUCAAGACAAGGGAUCAUAUGGGUUGUGGAAAACAUCCAGAAGAUAUGGGCGACAAGAGCAAUAUCCAUUUCCUCCAUACAAGGAGUUUUUCACCUUCCCCUCACAAGGUAAACUAAGGCACAGAGAGGGGAAGUGAUAUACUCCAGAUCACCCAGCCUGAUAGCUGUAGAACCAGGACUCUCCAGUGUCUCAGUCCAGUGAUCUAUCCACUAGGCCAUACUGCUUCUCCUGAAGCUUGGUAUUGAAGAUCCACAUUCCAUGCAGCCUGCUACAUUUCUACAAACACUUCCACAGAGAUAUUGUCUGGAAACUCCUCCUCCCGCUGUGCGCCAGCUGUCCCAGGCUGACACCAAGGCUCUGGUGCACCUCAGA